GAUGAACGCUGGCGGCGUGCCUAAUACAUGCAAGUCGAGCGAACGGACGAGAAGCUUGCUUCUCUGAUGUUAGCGGCGGACGGGUGAGUAACACGUGGAUAACCUACCUAUAAGACUGGGAUAACUUCGGGAAACCGUAGCUAAUACCGGAUAAUAUUUUGAACCGCAUGGUUCAAAAGUGAAAGACGGUCUUGCUGUCACUUAUAGAUGGAUCCGCGCUGCAUUAGCUAGUUGGUAAGGUAACGGCUUACCAAGGCAACGAUGCAUAGCCGACCUGAGAGGGUGAUCGGCCACACUGGAACUGAGACACGGUCCAGACUCCUACGGGAGGCAGCAGUAGGGAAUCUUCCGCAAUGGGCGUAAGCCUGACGGAGCAACGCCGCGUGAGUGAUGAAGGUCUUCGGAUCGUAAAACUCUGUUAUUAGGGAAGAACAUAUGUGUAAGUAACUGUGCACAUCUUGACGGUACCUAAUCAGAAAGCCACGGCUAACUACGUGCCAGCAGCCGCGGUAAUACGUAGGUGGCAAGCGUUAUCCGGAAUUAUUGGGCGUAAAGCGCGCGUAGGCGGUUUUUUAAGUCUGAUGUGAAAGCCCACGGCUCAACCGUGGAGGGUCAUUGGAAACUGGAAAACUUGAGUGCAGAAGAGGAAAGUGGAAUUCCAUGUGUAGCGGUGAAAUGCGCAGAGAUAUGGAGGAACACCAGUGGCGAAGGCGACUUUCUGGUCUGUAACUGACGCUGAUGUGCGAAAGCGUGGGGAUCAAACAGGAUUAGAUACCCUGGUAGUCCACGCCGUAAACGAUGAGUGCUAAGUGUUAGGGGGUUUCCGCCCCUUAGUGCUGCAGCUAACGCAUUAAGCACUCCGCCUGGGGAGUACGACCGCAAGGUUGAAACUCAAAGGAAUUGACGGGGACCCGCACAAGCGGUGGAGCAUGUGGUUUAAUUCGAAGCAACGCGAAGAACCUUACCAAAUCUUGACAUCCUUUGACAACUCUAGAGAUAGAGCCUUCCCCUUCGGGGGACAAAGUGACAGGUGGUGCAUGGUUGUCGUCAGCUCGUGUCGUGAGAUGUUGGGUUAAGUCCCGCAACGAGCGCAACCCUUAAGCUUAGUUGCCAUCAUUAAGUUGGGCACUCUAAGUUGACUGCCGGUGACAAACCGGAGGAAGGUGGGGAUGACGUCAAAUCAUCAUGCCCCUUAUGAUUUGGGCUACACACGUGCUACAAUGGACAAUACAAAGGGCAGCGAAACCGCGAGGUCAAGCAAAUCCCAUAAAGUUGUUCUCAGUUCGGAUUGUAGUCUGCAACUCGACUACAUGAAGCUGGAAUCGCUAGUAAUCGUAGAUCAGCAUGCUACGGUGAAUACGUUCCCGGGUCU
RNAcentral lists this ribosomal RNA (1372 nucleotides) under uncultured bacterium. RNAcentral's name for it is "bacterial SSU rRNA". It matches the Rfam family "Bacterial small subunit ribosomal RNA", at positions 28 to 1381 of the family's 1533-position model. The record is from RNAcentral.